Non-coding RNA from Triticum urartu, 860 nucleotides. The record is from RefSeq and is a predicted model, not a curated record. Lineage: Eukaryota; Viridiplantae; Streptophyta; Magnoliopsida; Poales; Poaceae.
UUCUCCUCAUACGGCUCGAGAAAAUGAUUCGAAUUUCUGUCGAUAAUAAUAGAAAUUAGACUAUGACGUGCAUUAAUUUCCUUACAGAAAAAACAAAUUUCAUUUAUACUCAUGACUCAAGUGGGCUAAUUUUGCCUGACAAACUUCGAAGGCAAAAUCCUUCCAAAAAUUUUGAGUCGUCUUUAAACUCUUUUCUUUGUCUCAUUUCGAACGAAUUGACUUUUAUUCCUUAUUCUAAUCCAACUCUGUUGUUGAGACAAUUGAAAAUUGUGUUUACUUGUUCUGGAAUCCUUUAUCUUUGAUUUGUGAAAUCCUUGGGUUUAGACAUUACUUCGGGAAUUCCUAUUUUUUUCUUUCAAAAGAGUAGCAACAUACCCUUUUUUCUUAUUUCCUUCGAUAAAGCAUUUAUCUCUUCUAUAGAAAUCUAAUAAGAGGGAUUGAUUCUGAUAUACUUUUAUUGGACUUUCUUCUUAUUUUAACCUUUCGAUUUAUUUCCAUAUUAAGGAUAGACUGACAAAGUUGGCCUAAUUUAUUAGUUUUCACUAACCCUAGAUUCUUUCCCUUGAUAAAAAAAAUUCCGUCCUCUCGAGCUCCAUCAUGUACUAUGUUACUUAAACCCAGCGCAAAUUUGGUUCGGAACGAAUAGAACAGGCUAUGUCGAGCCAAGAGCAUUUUCAUUACUAUGGAAAAUGAUGGAUAGCAAAAUCCACAAUCGAUCAUGUCCUUCAAGUCGCACGUUGCCUUCUACCACAUCGUUUUAAACGAAGUUUUACCAUAACAAACAUUCCUCUUUUCAUUGCAAAGUGGUAUAGAGAAUUGAUCCAAUAUGGAUGGAAUCAUGAAUAGAGAUCGGAAGAGAA